ACUUGUCUGUCCAUCUGCAGCAGUGGAGAACACCUCUGUUUUGGAGGUUGGUAUAGUUGUGUUCCGUGGGAUUAUCUUUGUCAUCACACCGCCUAUGGUUUCUAGCCCUAGAGAGAGCGGUGUCACAUCUAAGAGCACAAUGUUGCUUACUUCUCCAGUGAGAACAGCAGCCUGGGGUGCAAGUCAAAUGUGAUGCCAGAAGUUGAGGGCCUCAAAUGACAUAGUAUUGUCAUGAAAAGAAAGAAAUAAAAACAGUUAGAAAAGCCGACCUGAACUGCAGCGCCAAGCGCAACAACUUCAUCAGGAUUCACUGUUACAUUAGGUUCUUUUCCAGUCAUUUUUCUCACCAAACCCUGAACAGCUGGUACACGUGUUGAACCACCAACAAGGAUCACUUCAUCUAUAUCUUGGAGGGAAAGCUUUGCAUCUUUCAAGGCAUUUUGAACUGGAGCCCUAAGCCUUCAAAACAACAGACUGCAGACAUUACUACUGAGCUUAAAACAAACUCUAGAAUUUCUUGUCUUUAUUAGAUAUUUCAACUUCUCUUGCCCUCUCCAGGGCAAAAAGAUAACCUACCUAUCCAACAAAUCUUCGCACAACUCUUCAAAUUUGGCUCUUGUCAAGGCGACAUCAAUGUGUUUAGGGCCAUCUGCAGUAGCAGUAAUGAAAGGUAAACUGGCAAAACAGCAAAAAUUUAUCAGUACUGAAACAAAAGAGAAAGACAGCAGGCAAAAGAUUAAGCUACAAACGUGAUAUUGGUCUGAGUCAAAGAUGACAACUCAAUCUUUGCUUUCUCGGCUGCCUCUGUUAGACGCUGAAGAACUUGUUUAUCUUUCAGAAGAUCCACAUCUUCAUCUCUCUUAAAGCUUUCAGCAAGCCAAUCCACAAUUCUCUGUUUAAACGACAAGAAUCACACUUGUUAUUUCCUACCAAGAAAAUAAAAUAAAGAAAACGAAUACAAAUUUCUUACCUUGUCAAAGUCAUCACCCCCUAAAUGCGUAUCGCCUGAGGUGGAAAGUACUUCAAAUACUCCAUCUCCAACCUCA
RNAcentral lists this unclassified non-coding RNA (1046 nucleotides) under Hevea brasiliensis (rubber tree). The record is from RNAcentral. Lineage: Eukaryota; Viridiplantae; Streptophyta; Magnoliopsida; Malpighiales; Euphorbiaceae.